Molecule: long non-coding RNA, 582 nt
Organism: Pleuronectes platessa (European plaice)
Lineage: Eukaryota; Metazoa; Chordata; Actinopteri; Pleuronectiformes; Pleuronectidae
Exons: 7
Source: RefSeq, a predicted model, not a curated record
CAUCGCGAGAAGAAAAAUACCGGAAGUCAGGUACGUUACCGGAUGUGUACAUCAGGCACACGGAGAAGAAAUUUGUGAAUGCCAAAGUGUGCUGUGACUGCUGUCCGACCACAAGAGUCUCCUAUCUGACUGCACCUAUGUCUGUUGUCCAACCUGUCUGUGAAUGCAGGAGGCAACAAGUAGUUCGGGAGGCACCAAUGAUAGCUGAUUUCAAAACAAGGUGGCCUGCUCUCUUCCAUGUGCAUGAGGCAGAGUUCAAGGGGGGCGGAUCAGAAGCAUCAUGGUAGCCAUGACUGAGAUCCAGAGAAGCUGGUGAAAGAAAACCUGAUCCAGAGAAGCUGGUGAAAGAAUACCUGAGCGAUGAUAAAAGCAGUCUGGAGGCUAUGGCAGAGACGGUCUUUGGAGUCUUUGUCAUUCGACACAACGGUGCAGGGCCCAGUGAGAACCCAGAGGAUGUCAGAAUUCUUCUGGAGGGUGUAAAGGUGUUGCAUGAGUUGAGGUAUGUGCCUUUUGCAGUGGCAGAGUUGCUUGCGCUUGUGUAUGCUCUAAACCGUAGCUACCCCAGAGAGCUAAAAUACACCU